Molecule: ribosomal RNA, 490 nt
Filed under: uncultured bacterium
Lineage: Bacteria
Description: partial 16S ribosomal RNA
Rfam family: Bacterial small subunit ribosomal RNA
Source: RNAcentral
AUUGAACGCUGGCGGCAGGCCUAACACAUGCAAGUCGAACGGUAACAGGAAGAAGCUUGCUUCUUUGCUGACGAGUGGCGGACGGGUGAGUAAUGUCUGGGAAACUGCCUGAUGGAGGGGGAUAACUACUGGAAACGGUAGCUAAUACCGCAUAACGUCGCAAGACCAAAGAGGGGGACCUUCGGGCCUCUUGCCAUCGGAUGUGCCCAGAUGGGAUUAGCUAGUAGGUGGGGUAACGGCUCACCUAGGCGACGAUCCCUAGCUGGUCUGAGAGGAUGACCAGCCACACUGGAACUGAGACACGGUCCAGACUCCUACGGGAGGCAGCAGUGGGAAAUAUUGCACAAAGGGCGCAAGCCUGAUGCAGCCAUGCCGCGUGUAUGAAGAAGGCCUUCGGGUUGUAAAGUACUUUCAGCGGGGAGGAAGGGAGUAAAGUUAAUACCUUUGCUCAUUGACGUUACCCGCAGAAGAAGCACCGGCUAACUCCGUG